GUGCCAGCCGCCGCGGUAACACGUACUGUGCGAACGUUAUUCGGAAUCACUGGGCUUAAAGGGUGCGUAGGCGGCGAUUCAAGUCAGAUGUGAAAUGCCUGAGCUCAACUGAGGCAUUGCGUUUGAAACUGAUUUGCUAGAGUAUUUCAGGGGUGUGCGGAACUGCCAGUGGAGCGGUGAAAUGUGUUGAUAUUGGCAGGAACACCGGAGGCGAAAGCGGCACACUGGGGAAUUACUGACGCUGAGGCACGAAAGCUAGGGGAGCGAACGGGAUUAGAAACCCGGGUAGUCC
Molecule: ribosomal RNA, 292 nt
Filed under: uncultured bacterium
Lineage: Bacteria
Description: partial 16S ribosomal RNA
Rfam family: Bacterial small subunit ribosomal RNA
Source: RNAcentral